RNAcentral lists this ribosomal RNA (243 nucleotides) under uncultured bacterium. RNAcentral's name for it is "partial small subunit ribosomal RNA". It matches the Rfam family "Bacterial small subunit ribosomal RNA", at positions 26 to 285 of the family's 1533-position model. The record is from RNAcentral.
AGAAUCAACGCUGGCGGCGUGCCUAACACAUGCAAGUCGAACGAGAAAGUGGAGCAAUCCAUGAGUACAGUGGCGUACGGGUGAGUAACACGUGACUAACCUACCCUCGAGUGGGGAAUAACCUCGGGAAACCGGGGCUAAUACCGCAUAACAUCUUCGGAUCAAAUGCGUAAGCAGCUUGAGGAGGGGGUCGCGGCCGAUUAGCUAGUUGGCGGGUAAUGGCCCACAAGGCAAUGAUCGGUA